This is a small nucleolar RNA of Humulus lupulus (European hop), 107 nucleotides long. The record is from RefSeq and is a predicted model, not a curated record. Lineage: Eukaryota; Viridiplantae; Streptophyta; Magnoliopsida; Rosales; Cannabaceae.
UAGCUAUUGUGCAGGCAUUGAUUCAACAAUUCCUUGAAUCUUUCCCAUACUUGAUAGAACGUUUCAUUGUCCUUUUCGGAAAAUAUGGAAAUUUGUCAUUUUAGAUU